Molecule: non-coding RNA, 275 nt
Filed under: unclassified sequences
Description: RAGATH-8 RNA
Rfam family: RAGATH-8 RNA
Source: Rfam by way of RNAcentral
AUCAAUCAAGAAAGCAGGAAAGAACGGGUGAAGCGAUAGGGCGGCACGCAAGUGACAUGGCGGUCAGGCUGUAGGAUAACAGACAGAUGCGACAAAAGAAAAACCGCAAAGGCUCUGUGACCUUUACAAGCGUUGCUUUGUAGAUCCUUUUCCCCAAACCAGCAACAGCUAUGACCCACUAUUUGAAGAAAGCGGACAGGUUAACUUUUCCCCUAUAACAAGAAGAUGUUAAGCAGAAGAAUCAACCGAGCGAGAUGACACAGCACUUGAUUGAA